This 348-nucleotide transfer-messenger RNA is filed under the name Clostridioides sp. It matches the Rfam family "transfer-messenger RNA". Rfam says of the family: Bacterial tmRNA, also known as 10Sa RNA or SsrA, is named for its dual tRNA and mRNA-like properties. The record is from RNAcentral. Lineage: Bacteria; Bacillati; Bacillota; Clostridia; Peptostreptococcales; Peptostreptococcaceae.
GGGGGUGUAAAGGUUUCGACGGGGGUUUGGAACUUGGGGUUGCGUGUCGUGUUACUCUGGGUCACGUACAAACUGGAGAAAAUUAAAAUAAACGCAGACGAAAAUUUAGCGUUAGCAGCCUAAUUGCUGCUCGUUCCUCUUAGUCCUCCUGCCGACUAAGACUGAACGCCAUUAUGCAGGCAACUUCUUUUAGAGUGUCUCUACUAAAAGUCGUAUAAGUGGGACUGGUUUCAAAUAUUGAUUGCCAUUUAUUUGUAUUUGAAAUGAGAUUAAAUUAAUUGGCUACGCACGUAGAUACAACGAGGAAAAGACUUUCGGACAGGGGUUCGACUCCCCUCAUCUCCACCA